This 409-nucleotide ribosomal RNA is filed under the name Fusobacteriota bacterium. Its description in RNAcentral is "Fusobacteria bacterium partial 16S ribosomal RNA". It matches the Rfam family "Bacterial small subunit ribosomal RNA", at positions 355 to 776 of the family's 1533-position model. The record is from RNAcentral. Lineage: Bacteria; Fusobacteriati; Fusobacteriota.
UGGGGAAUAUUGCACAAUGGAGGGAACUCUGAUGCAGCAACGCCGCGUGCGGGAUGACGGCCUUCGGGUUGUAAACCGCUUUCAGCCAUGACGAAGCUUUUGUGACGGUAGUGGUAGAAGAAGCACCGGCUAACUACGUGUCAGCAGCCGCGGUGAUACGUAGGGUGCGAGCGUUGUCCGGAAUUAUUGGGCGUAAAGAGCUUGUAGGCGGUUUGUCGCGUCGAUAGUGUAAACACGAAGCUUAACUGUGUGCCUGCUGUCGAUACGGGCUGACUAGAGGAGGGUAGAGGAGAAUGGAAUUCCCGGUGGAGCGGUGGAAUGCGCAGAUAUCGGGAGGAACACCAGUGGCGAAGGCGGUUCUCUGGACCUUUCCUGACGCUGAGAAGCGAAAGCGUGGGUAGCAAACAGG